Molecule: ribosomal RNA, 468 nt
Filed under: uncultured bacterium
Lineage: Bacteria
Description: partial 16S ribosomal RNA
Rfam family: Bacterial small subunit ribosomal RNA
Source: RNAcentral
GACGAACGCUGGCGGCGUGCUUAACACAUGCAAGUCGAACGGAAAGGCCCUGCUUUUGUGGGGUGCUCGAGUGGCGAACGGGUGAGUAACACGUGAGUAACCUGCCCUUGACUUUGGGAUAACUUCAGGAAACUGGGGCUAAUACCGGAUAGGAGCUCCUGCUGCAUGGUGGGGGUUGGAAAGUUUCGGCGGUUGGGGAUGGACUCGCGGCUUAUCAGCUUGUUGGUGGGGUAGUGGCUUACCAAGGCUUUGACGGGUAGCCGGCCUGAGAGGGUGACCGGCCACAUUGGGACUGAGAUACGGCGCAGACUCCUACGGGAGGCAGCAGUGGGGAAUAUUGCACAAUGGGCGGAAGCCUGAUGCAGCAACGCCGGGUGCGGGAUGACGGCCUUCGGGUUGUAAACCGCUUUCGCCUGUGACGAAGCGUGAGUGACGGUAAUGGGUAAAGAAGCACCGGCUAACUACGUG